AGAGUUUGAUCAUGGCUCAGGAUGAACGCUGGCGGUAUGCUUAACACAUGCAAGUCGAACGAAAGUUUUUAACUUUAGUGGCGAACGGGUGCGUAAUACGUGAGAAUCUGCCCUUAGGAGGAGGAUAACUGCUGGAAACGGCUGCUAACCCUCCAUAUGUCGAGAGAUGAAAUAACUUAUUGCCUAAGGAUGAGCUCGCGCCUGAUUAGCUUGUUGGGGAGGUAAUGGCUCACCAAGGCCACGAUCAGUAGCUGGUUUGAGAGAACGAUCAGCCACACUGGGACUGAGACACGGCCCAGACUCCUCCGGGAGGCAGCAGUGAGGAAUUUUCCGCAAUGGGCGAAAGCCUGACGGAGCAAUACCGCGUGAGGGAUGAAGGAUUUUGGUCUGUAAACCUCUUUUCUCAAGAAAGAAGUUCUGACGGUACUUGAGGAAUAAGCAUCGGCUAACUCCGUGCCAGCAGCCGCGGUAAUACGGGGGAUGCAAGCGUUAUCCGGAAUCAUUGGGCGUAAAGCGCCUGUAGGUUGUUUAAUAAGUCUGUUGUUAAAGACUAGGGCUCAACCCUAGAAAAGCAAUGGAAACUACUAGACUAGAGUAUGGCAGGGGUAGAGGGAAUUUCUAGUGUAGCGGUGAAAUGCGUAGAUAUUAGAAAGAACACCGGUGGCGAAAGCGCUCUACUGGACCAUUACUGACACUCAGAGGCGAAAGCUAGGGUAGCAAGAGGGAUUAGAUACCCCUGUAGUCUUAGCCGUAAACGAUGGAUACUAGAUGUUGUGCGUAAUGUACAGUAUCGUAGCUAACGCGUUAAGUAUCCCGCCUGGGGAGUACGCUCGCAAGGGUGAAACUCAAAGGAAUUGACGGGGGCCCGCACAAGCGGUGGAGCAUGU
Molecule: ribosomal RNA, 887 nt
Filed under: uncultured bacterium
Lineage: Bacteria
Description: bacterial SSU rRNA
Rfam family: Bacterial small subunit ribosomal RNA
Source: RNAcentral